GCCUCUGUGAUGGAGAGGGUAGGGCAGUGGGUGGGGCAGGGGGAGAUGGCCUCUGUGAUGGAGAGGGCAAAGAUGAGAUCAAGUCCAGGUCUCUGGCAGUGAGCGUCACUGAAGUCCUGCCGCCUGUCAGCCUGGGUCACAGCACUCCUGCUCCUUGGCCCUGGUGGCCUCUAUUCUGCCCCUGUGCAUUCUCUGUCUCCACCACGAUGCAUGGACCCCAUUUUCUCCCACCGCUCUGUGCCGGCUAAUGGUCCACAGUGAUUCACGUGUAGCGUGAGGACCAGCUUUCUUCCCAAGUGUUGCAGACCAUGCACACGCUCCUUCAGCCUCUUUCCUCACACACCCCAGCUCCUGCCCUCCCAUGUGCUCUGCCGUACAGAGAUCCAUGCUGCACCUGUCAUUCGGCUCCUGA
Molecule: long non-coding RNA, 412 nt
Organism: Peromyscus eremicus (cactus mouse)
Lineage: Eukaryota; Metazoa; Chordata; Mammalia; Rodentia; Cricetidae
Exons: 3
Source: RefSeq, a predicted model, not a curated record